This 335-nucleotide long non-coding RNA is filed under the name Gallus gallus (chicken). Lineage: Eukaryota; Metazoa; Chordata; Aves; Galliformes; Phasianidae. The record is from RNAcentral.
UUGGCGUUCUGGAAGAAGCCUUUCAGCUUCACCAUGAGCGUAUCGAAGUUGGCAUCUGCUAUGAGGCAGGGACCAUUCUCAAAGAGAGCGAAACAGCUGAGGGGAUACUCAGAGUUGUGCAUCACGUACAUCAGCUUGCCUGUCUGCCCUUGGCUGCUGAUGGCGGCGGCCGUGUGGUACGUCUCGCAGUCCACGCCGAACGCGCCGUGCUUCUCGGCGCCCAGCAGCUCCAGCUUCUUGCUCAGCAGCUCCACCGUCUGCUGCACGCUCUUCCCCUCCAAUACAGGCACCUGCGUCACGCAGGUGACCCCCAUCGCUCCGUCCGUUCCCGCCCG